UGCCAGCAGUCGCGGUAAUACGUAGAAGACUAGUGUUAUUCAUGUUUAAUCGGUUUAAAGGGUACCUAGACGGUAGAUCAAGCUUUCUAAUAAAGGAAAAGGACUAGUUUACUAGAGUUACUUAUGAGGGGGUAUUAAAGUACUGCUGGUGUAGAGAUGAAAUUCUGUCAUACCUCUUUUCAAAAGAAAAACCAUGGCACAGGUAUAGGCGAAGGCAUCCCCUUAUGUGAUAACUGACGUUGAGGGACGAAGGCUUUGUGUAGCGAACAGGAUUAGAUACCCCAGUAGUCGAAGCAGAAAAUGAUGAAUGUCAUAGAUUAGAUAUAUAAGUUUAUUCUAUAAAUGAAAGUGUAAGCAUUCCACCUCAUGAGUAAUUUGGCAACAUUGGAACUGAAAUCAUUAGACCGUUUCUGAAACCAGUAGUGAAGUAUGUUGUUUAAUUUGAUGUUCCGCAAAAAACCUUACCACAAUUUGAAUAUUUAUAUUGUUUAUUGUUUUAUUAUUAAUUUUCUUUAAGAAAAUUAAGAAAGAAGCAAUAAGAUAUAAUUACAAGCGUUGCACGGCUGUCUUCAGUUAAUGUCGCGAGACUUU
RNAcentral lists this ribosomal RNA (591 nucleotides) under Xanthoparmelia tinctina. Its description in RNAcentral is "SSU rRNA". It matches the Rfam family "Bacterial small subunit ribosomal RNA", at positions 506 to 1076 of the family's 1533-position model. The record is from RNAcentral. Lineage: Eukaryota; Fungi; Ascomycota; Lecanoromycetes; Lecanorales; Parmeliaceae.